Molecule: ribosomal RNA, 492 nt
Filed under: uncultured bacterium
Lineage: Bacteria
Description: partial 16S ribosomal RNA
Rfam family: Bacterial small subunit ribosomal RNA
Source: RNAcentral
AGUGAACGCUGGCGGUAGGCCUAACACAUGCAAGUCGAACGGCAGCACAGUAAGAGCUUGCUCUUACGGGUGGCGAGUGGCGGACGGGUGAGGAAUACAUCGGAAUCUACUUUUUCGUGGGGGAUAACGUAGGGAAACUUACGCUAAUACCGCAUACGACCUACGGGUGAAAGCAGGGGAUCUUCUGACCUUGCGCGAUUGAAUGAGCCGAUGUCGGAUUAGCUAGUUGGCGGGGUAAAGGCCCACCAAGGCGACGAUCCGUAGCUGGUCUGAGAGGAUGAUCAGCCACACUGUCACUGAGACACGGUCCAGACUCCUACGCGAGGCAACAGUGGGGAAUAUUGGACGAGGCGGGCGAGCCUGAUCCAGCCAUACCGCGUGGGUGAAGAAGGACUUCGGGUUGUAAAGCCCUUUUGUUGGGAAAGAAAAGCAGCAGGUUAAUACCCCACUGUUCUGACGGUACCCAAAGAAUAAGCACCGGCUAACUUCGUG